RNAcentral lists this long non-coding RNA (3868 nucleotides) under Sus scrofa (pig). RNAcentral describes it as "lncRNA (ENSSSCG00045023889.1)". The record is from RNAcentral. Lineage: Eukaryota; Metazoa; Chordata; Mammalia; Artiodactyla; Suidae.
ACAUCAUUUGGCUGAAUGUAGUCCAUUUCAUUCUCCAAGGCUCAAUUCAAUUCAAAAACAUAUUUGCUUCCUUUAAUUUUCCAGUAAGAACUUUACUUAUUUAUAAUGACAGUUUCAUUCUUUUUUCUUAGAAGUAGUUCACCUACUUUUCAUUUGUUUCCUAUUACAGUGCCUAUUACAGUGUUUGUACUUAAAAACAAAGUACUUCCUGGAUUAAUUCAUGGAAUGAAAAAUAGGAAGUGAAUAUACUCAAACAGGAAACCAUGAUAUAUGUGUUGGCUUCUGAUUGUUGGGCUGACUUUUCCAAACUCGGCCACUUAAACCAAAGGUCAAACCAGGAACAGCUGACCUUACACAAGCCUUCAGAAUAAGGCCUUGCUCAGUGAGGCCUGAAGGUAAGGAAGAUCCCUUAAGUAUAUGAGUGGGCUUUCUCACACAUUGCCCUCCAAAAUCUUAUGAUUUUAUUGAGAUAGGUGAGCACAUUAUCCAACGCUUUCUUUGCAUAUUCAAAGACAGAACCUGAUUUUGCUUACUGUUUUGUUUUUGUUUUUGUUUUUUUCAAAUAAUGUGUUGACUUAAAACAGUAUGUUUUUCCCUAAGUCAUUCUUAACAGGUUAGAAACUAAAUUCUAUUUUCUAAAAUAUUUUCCAACACUUUAUUUAAAACUUUUCCAAACUAUUUCCUACGAUUUAGUUUCAGCUCUGUCUAUUUUCAAAAUACACUAGUGCUAAUAUUUUCCUUUCAGUUUUGCUCUGGUCAAGAGCAAAUAAUUUUAAAAUUAUUAGUAAAAGAAACCAGGUAAUAAACCAUGAUUUUUUAUAUCUUGGAGUAACACUUGUAACAUAAAUAUCAUUCAUCACUAGGAAAUUUUGAAAAAUUCCAUGUAGUUUAGUUUUGAAAUGAUUUCCUUUUUUCCCAUAAAUUCUUAUUUUAUUCUUAUCAUAGUUUAUUUGAUAUUAUCAUCUUUGCCAUUUUAUAUUUUUAAGUAUAAAAGUUUUACAUUUCCAGGUGGAAAUAAAAAUUUGUAUUAGUUAAAUAUAUUAUUUCAAGUGAAAUGAAAAUGUGUAUCCAACCCGUCCAUCUUUUUUUGUUUUUUUCUGCAUCUGUGGCAUAUGGAAGUUCCUGGGCCCUGGGCCAGGGAUCGAAUCCAAGAUGCAGAUGUGACCUUGCCAGAUCCUAAUCCACUGCACUGACCUGAGCUGCUGCAACGACAAGGCUGGAUCCUUAACCUGCCACACCACAGCAGGAACUCCCUCUAGUUCUUAUUUUACUUAAUGACGCAUCAUAUCUUGUCUUUCAUUAAUACUUUGUCUACUUGAAAAUUCAAAUAACUUGAUUUCAUUUUCUUUCAAUUUUUCUUAGUUUUGCUCUUUUAAUAUUUCCCUUUUCUAGGUUCUUUUAGAUGGAGACUUAAUGGUAGAAGUUACAUUUUGUUUACAAACAUAGACAUUUAGGUCAAUACAUUAUACCCUAAGUAAGAUCUAGAGAUAAGGCAUACCUCCUGUGAAAGGGUAUAUGUUUUUGUUUUUAGUUUUUUGUCCUUUCUUUUCCAACAUUUAAUGUAAAAAUUUUCACACAUACAGAAAGGUAAAAGAAUUUUAUAGUGAAUACUUACAUAACCAGCCCCUAGAUUUGAUAAUAUACAUCUCAUUAACACCUGCCUCAUUAGCUCUCUAUUCAUCUAUCCAUUCUCUGUCAACUCCAUCAAUCCAAUUUAUUUUUUGAUACAUGUCAAAUUUGCAGACUCAGUGCAUUCCACUCCUAAACAUUUUAGUAUGCAUUUCACUAACCAGAGUACAGUAGUUAUUUUUGGUUUUGCUUUAUUUGAGACAAACUUAUAUAUAAUGAAAUGCACAGAUCUUAAAUAGAUCAUCCUUUGAGUCCUGACAAAUGUAUAUACUCAGAUGAAUCCUAUCCCUAAUAAGAUAAACAGCCUUACUAGCACCCCCCGUAAAGUUUCCGCACACUUCUUCUCCAGCGAAUCUCAGCCCUAGAGCCAUAAGAAGCGGACUUUGUUAUGAUUUUUUUCCACGAUAGAUUUGUAUCUGUGGUUGUAAGAAAUCUUUUAAUAAAUAUUCUAGCCAUGUUAUUUUACAGAUGGGGAAUCUUAGGCUGUUAGAGGUGGGAAAAACCCACUUCAGUGCAGUCAAGACUCAGUCUCAGAUUUACAGACUCCAGAGCCAAUACUUUUUCCCAUUAUUUCACAAUGUAUGGUUGUUCUGAUUUCAUAAUAUUAUGGAAUGGGAAUGCACAAACUUUCCAUAAAGUCUGGAAACAAGAUAGUAUUUAAUUGUUUUAAACAGAAUGAGAUACAUAUUUUGAUGCUGGAAUAUGCUAAAAAUGAUGUUUUAUUUGGUGAAAAUGGGAGACACGUCAUAUGAGGCAAUACAUCACAGAUGCACAUGCAUGUUUUAGGGAAUGCUCUGUGAGCACGCUGUGUUCACUAUAAUUUUGCACAACAUCUGGAAGAAAAUGUAUUUUGUUGUAUUGCUGGUAAGAACAACAUACUGAACAUAUCAUGUGAUGUCACUGAACACACCACGCUUUGCAGUGUGAUUUCAAUAAUUUUUUAAAUGUAAUUUGUAUUUGUUUCUGAAUUUCAUAGAAACUGUAGCAUUUAGGAUUCUGAUUAUUGAUUUUAUACUAAGGAAAAUUUUCUUCCUAGAAUAUGAAUGUUUACUAACAAUUUUUGUGAAUGAAAAGAAAAUUUUUCUUUAUUACAACAAGAUGUUUUCCUCUGUCAAUUAAUUCAAUUUAUUAACUGAUCAGAGUAAUACUUUGUUGUUUACAUGACCUUCAGUAGCUUGGAAGCAGGGUGCUAAACAAAACUAUUAUAUUUCUACUUUUGUCUCUUAGUAAUCUCAUUGUAUACUUGUUUUCUAAUGAUGUUUAAAACAAAACUAUAGUAUCAAGUGAUUAAGUUUUAAUUUUACCAUUUUCACCAUUUUUGAGUUGGAGAGUGUUGGGCUGCACCUCAAAAGCCUUCAGGCCCUAUACUUGCCCAGCUUCAAGACCAAAGAAAGAGCCCAGAGUCAGCAGCAGAGAUAUCAAUGGUGUAAUGGAUAAGGGAGCUUAUACAUCUGAAGCAAGGCCUUGGAGUAACACCCCAUUGUGUGUGACAGACAGCAGGUGGGGCAUUGUAGCAGUCUUUGCUACCAGAAAGAUGCGGGGGAGGUUAUAAUUAUGAGGGGAAUUGAAGUCAAGUCCUCAGGGAACCAGGGAAACCAGCAGAGGAGCCCAACCUCAGUGAUCCUUUGAUAAGCUAUCAUGGUAGAGAUGUUUUGAUCUAAAGAUUAGAGCAAUCACUCUCUGGGGCUGGGGGUCAAGUAGGUAGGCAUUUACUGCUUAGGUUCAAUGAUAAAGAGGGUAGGUCAGUCAGGAGAUGGUGAGACAGAGACUGGUCAAGCAGGGGGAUGUACAGAGAGCAAGAGAACAGCCACCUUGAAUGAACUGUUUAUCACAGGGAGGAAGAAAUUUUCCCCUAACCUUCUUGGUUCUUCUGACUAAUUUAAGAAUUAAAUUGACAUGAGACAGGUUAACAGGAGAAAAUCAAACAAAAGUUUAGUAACACAUAAUCAUGAGAGAGACCCCCCCAAAAUGAGUAACUAGCUAAAAUGGCCAAAGCCUUCACAUUAAAUACCAUCCUCAGCUAAAGACAAAAGAGGAUGUUGAGGAUGUGGAGAAUCAGAUAUGGGGGUUACUAAGAGAACCACAGUAACAAAGGAUGAUUGUGAUACAGACCUAAGGCUUUGCCUUCUCCACUGAUAAGUGUUUCUAGAGAUUUUGUCAUCUUCCUCUUCCACGUACCAAAAGGGAAAUACCCUUAGAAAUGAAGUCUUUCCCUGGUCUGCUGUUUUUCAGAAAAAAA